Molecule: non-coding RNA, 133 nt
Organism: Agelaius phoeniceus (red-winged blackbird)
Lineage: Eukaryota; Metazoa; Chordata; Aves; Passeriformes; Icteridae
Source: RefSeq, a predicted model, not a curated record
AGGGCCACGACCCACAGAGGGGAUGAAAGCAAGGUGCAGAUGCAUUACAUCUGUGGCAGAGGGUUACGGUUACAAGGUGCCAGGCCUUCUUAGGAGAAUGCUGUCUAAGAGACAACAGCCCGGUGCCAGCAGG